This 643-nucleotide long non-coding RNA is filed under the name Phasianus colchicus (ring-necked pheasant). RNAcentral's name for it is "lncRNA (ENSPCLG00000001324.1)". Lineage: Eukaryota; Metazoa; Chordata; Aves; Galliformes; Phasianidae. The record is from RNAcentral.
AAUUCCUCUACAGAAGGGACCCUCAAAGGUCAUCUAGUUUAACUCACCUGCAACGAACAGAGAUGCUUACAGCUAGCUCAGAGUCCCUAAAUAUUAAUAGCAUGUGUCAAAUUUAAUUACGAUGUGUUUGUUUUAAGCCCAUCUCUACAUAUCUCCUUUUUCUGAGGCACCUGCAAAUGUCUCUCAAGAAUCAUCCCAAAAUAAAUGUCAAGCUCACUAAAUUAUUGAAUUUGUAAACAAAAUGACAUCAUUUACCAGCUAAGUAACAAAAAAGUGGUUCAUGCAUGUAUUCUCCAGAAUUGUCCUUCUGACCUUAAGAAGGAAACCUCAUACUCAGGCCUUCUUCUGCAGAGAAAAUUGGUAUUCUCUUACCUGAUACAAAAAUCCCAAUCAUGAACAUGAGCUCUGUCAGAACCCUCUAAACGACAGCAGUCUGAAGGAAUAUUGUAUGGGAACUGUUGAGUCACAGCCUGAACCACUGAUUGAGCACCUGAGGCAAGGACUGAGGACCUGGGAGCACAGCAUGGAUUGGAAGAGCACCAUGACCAAAGAGCUGAAUAAAUCUUGAGGGUGCCAGUUGGAGGAACUCAACAAUCAGAAGUUAAAAAUCCAGGAAUCACAAAAUCAGUUGUAAAAAAAAAAC